GACGAACGCUGGCGGCGUGCUUAACACAUGCAAGUCGAACGGAAAGGCUCCUGCUUGCAGGGGUACUCGAGUGGCGAACGGGUGAGUAACACGUGGGUGAUCUGCCUUGUACUCUGGGAUAAGCUUGGGAAACUGGGUCUAAUACCGGAUAGUAGCCGCCCUUAGUGUGGUGGUUGGAAAGUUUUUUCGGUGCAAGAUGAGCUCGCGGCCUAUCAGCUUGUUGGUGGGGUAAUGGCCUACCAAGGCGUCGACGGGUAGCCGGCCUGAGAGGGUGUACGGCCACAUUGGGACUGAGAUACGGCCCAGACUCCUACGGGAGGCAGCAGUGGGGAAUAUUGCACAAUGGGCGGAAGCCUGAUGCAGCGACGCCGCGUGGGGGAUGACGGCCUUCGGGUUGUAAACUCCUUUCGACAGGGACGAAGCUUUUUGUGACGGUACCUGUAUAAGAAGCACCGGCUAACUACGUGCCAGCAGCCGCGGUAAUACGUAGGGUGUGAGCGUUGUCCGGAAUUACUGGGCGUAAAGAGCUCGUAGGUGGUUUGUCGCGUCGUCUGUGAAAUUCCGGGGCUUAACUCCGGGCGUGCAGGCGAUACGGGCAUAACUUGAGUGCUGUAGGGGAGACUGGAAUCCCUGGUGUAGCGGUGAAAUGCGCAGAUAUCAGGAGGAACACCGAUGGCGAAGGCAGGUCUCUGGGCAGUAACUGACGCUGAGGAGCGAAAGCAUGGGUAGCGAACAGGAUUAGAUACCCUGGUAGUCCAUGCCGUAAACGGUGGGCGCUAGGUGUAGGGGGCUUCCACGUCUUCUGUGCCGUAGCUAACGCAUUAAGCGCCCCGCCUGGGGAGUACGGCCGCAAGGCUAAAACUCAAAGGAAUUGACGGGGGCCCGCACAAGCGGCGGAGCAUGUGGAUUAAUUCGAUGCAACGCGAAGAACCUUACCUGGGCUUGACAUACACCAGAUCGCUGCAGAGAUGUAGUUUCCCUUGUGGUUGGUGUACAGGUGGUGCAUGGUUGUCGUCAGCUCGUGUCGUGAGAUGUUGGGUUAAGUCCCGCAACGAGCGCAACCCUUGUCUUAUGUUGCCAGCAUUUUAGUUGGGGACUCAUGAGAGACUGCCGGGGUUAACUCGGAGGAAGGUGGGGAUGACGUCAAAUCAUCAUGCCCCUUAUGUCCAGGGCCUCACACAUGCUACAAUGGUCGGUACAACGCGCGGCGACACUGUGAGGUGGAGCGAAUCGCUGAAAGCCGGCCUUAGUUCGGAUUGGGGUCUGCAACUCGACCCCAUGAAGUCGGAGUCGCUAGUAAUCGCAGAUCAGCAAUGCUGCGGUGAAUACGUUCCCGGGCCU
This 1341-nucleotide ribosomal RNA is filed under the name uncultured bacterium. Its description in RNAcentral is "bacterial SSU rRNA". It matches the Rfam family "Bacterial small subunit ribosomal RNA", at positions 28 to 1381 of the family's 1533-position model. The record is from RNAcentral.